Molecule: unclassified non-coding RNA, 338 nt
Filed under: soil metagenome
Description: partial contains 5.8S ribosomal RNA, internal transcribed spacer 2, and large subunit ribosomal RNA
Rfam family: 5.8S ribosomal RNA (bases 1-120)
Source: RNAcentral
GAUGAAGAACGUAGCGAAAUGCGAUAAGUAAUGUGAAUUGCAGAAUUCAGUGAAUCAUCGAAUCUUUGAACGCACAUUGCGCCCGGCAGUACUCUGCCGGGCAUGCCUGUUCGAGCGUCAUUUCAACCCUCAAGCCCUGCUUGGUGUUGGGGUCCCACGGCCGCCGUGGGCCCUGAAAGGAAGUGGCGGGCUCGCUACAACUCCGAGCGUAGUAAUUCAUUAUCUCGCUUAGGGCGUUGGGCGGUGCUCCUGCCGUUAAAGAACCAUCUUUAACUCAAGGUUGACCUCGGAUCAGGUAGGAAUACCCGCUGAACUUAAGCAUAUCAAUAAGCGGAGGA